This 253-nucleotide ribosomal RNA is filed under the name uncultured bacterium. Its description in RNAcentral is "partial 16S ribosomal RNA". It matches the Rfam family "Bacterial small subunit ribosomal RNA", at positions 524 to 776 of the family's 1533-position model. The record is from RNAcentral.
UACAGAGGUCCCAAGCGUUGUUCGGAUUCAUUGGGCGUAAAGGGUGCGUAGGUGGCGCCGUAAGUCGGGUGUGAAAUUUCGGAGCUUAACUCCGAAACUGCAUUCGAUACUGCGGUGCUUGAGGACUGGAGAGGAGACUGGAAUUCAUGGUGUAGCAGUGAAAUGCGUAGAUAUCGUAAGGAAGACCAGUGGCGAAGGCGAGUCUCUGGACAGUUACUGACGCUGAGGCACGAAGGCCAGGGGAGCAAACGGG